UGAGCUAAACGGCGGAGUCAGGAACUUGC
This 29-nucleotide non-coding RNA is filed under the name Mus musculus (house mouse). Lineage: Eukaryota; Metazoa; Chordata; Mammalia; Rodentia; Muridae. The record is from RNAcentral.